RNAcentral lists this ribosomal RNA (468 nucleotides) under uncultured bacterium. RNAcentral describes it as "bacterial SSU rRNA". It matches the Rfam family "Bacterial small subunit ribosomal RNA", at positions 917 to 1382 of the family's 1533-position model. The record is from RNAcentral.
GGACCCGCACAAGCAGUGGAGUAUGUGGUUUAAUUCGACGCAACGCGAAGAACCUUACCAGGGCUUGACAUCCUACUAACGAAGCAGAGAUGCAUUAGGUGCCCUUCGGGGAAAGUAGAGACAGGUGGUGCAUGGUUGUCGUCAGCUCGUGUCGUGAGAUGUUGGGUUAAGUCCCGCAACGAGCGCAACCCUUAUUGUUAGUUGAUACGGUUCGGCCGAUCACUCUAGCGAGACCGCCGUUGACAAAACGGAGGAAGGUGGGGAUGACGUCAAAUCAUCAUGCCCUUUAUGUCCUGGGCUACACACGUACUACAAUGGCAGUCAUACAGAGGGAUGCAAAGCCGCGAGGUGGAGCAAAACCCUAAAAGCUGUCUCAGUUCAGAUUGCAGGCUGCAACCCGCCUGCAUGAAGUCGGAAUUGCUAGUAAUCGCGGAUCAGCAUGCCGCGGUGAAUACGUUCCCGGGUCUU